Phthorimaea operculella (potato tuberworm) is the source of this 76-nucleotide non-coding RNA. Lineage: Eukaryota; Metazoa; Arthropoda; Insecta; Lepidoptera; Gelechiidae. The record is from the annotation of a GenBank genome assembly.
ACCGCGGUAGCCCAGUUGGUAGUGGUGUCGGCAGUACAAAUUCCGAAAAUCGCAGGUUCAAAUCUUACCCGUGGUG